RNAcentral lists this long non-coding RNA (968 nucleotides) under Junco hyemalis (dark-eyed junco). RNAcentral describes it as "lncRNA (ENSJHYG00000011575.1)". The record is from RNAcentral. Lineage: Eukaryota; Metazoa; Chordata; Aves; Passeriformes; Passerellidae.
AUGUCCUUGUGUCCCUUGGUGGCUGCGGUGUCCCUGUGUCCCUUGGUGCUGCUGUGUCCCUGGCUGUGCCAGUCUGGGGGCAGGGGGGCAGAGGAGCUGUUAGGCUCUGGUUUCUGUCAGAGCCAGGUCCUGCCCACUGCUUUGUGUCCCUGCUGGGCUCAGGGUUUGGGGACAGCUCUGUGUCCCCUGCAGGUCCUGCUGAGCUGGCCCAGCUGUGGACAGAGGUCCAGGACAGGGAUGUCCCUGCUCCAGGGCUGUGAUCAGGACAGGGAUGUCCCUGCUCCAGCCCCUCUCUGGCCCUGGUGGACUCUCCCAUCCCACUGCUGCCCUCGGAGGCAGGGAGGUGACUCCUCUGCCAGGCUCUGCAGGAGAUCCAGGAGCAGUGGGGCUCUACAGACUCCCGGUGCUGCUGAGCCCAUCCUUGUUCCCUCUGGCAGCCAAUUCCUCACCCCAGGUUUUGGGGGUGCAGCUCCCCCAGUGCUCCACAUUCAGCUCUGCUCCUUCCCUGCCUUGGGACACUUUGAGCUGUCGCUGUGUCCCAGUGCCUGCAGGGACAGUGCUGCCCCUGCCCAGGCUGUGGGACAGACAGUUCAGUGCCUCCCAGCUGGGGAGGGAAGGUUUGUUCUGUUUCUGCCUCUUUGCCACGUUUAUCCCCAGUUUAUCUUCACCCCUGGCUGCAGGGAUGGAAUGUCCCUGGAGCAGAGCUGGCUCUUGCCUCUUGCCUGUUCCUCACAGGCAGCUCCUGCUCCUUCCCAGCCUCCCACAGCCAUGGGCACACUGUGCUGUGUCCUGCUCUGCAGCUUUGGCUCCAUCCUCCAUCCUUUCCCCAUGGAUGAGCUCAGAGCCAGUCCUGGCCCAGGGCUGCCAUCACCUCCCCAGGCACCAGAGGUUUGGUUGGGUUGUACAGAACGAUUGUAACCUGUAACUUUUUGUAAUUGUUUUUAAUAAAAGAGUGUUGACUAGAUGCA